This 1343-nucleotide ribosomal RNA is filed under the name uncultured bacterium. RNAcentral describes it as "16S ribosomal RNA". It matches the Rfam family "Bacterial small subunit ribosomal RNA", at positions 28 to 1378 of the family's 1533-position model. The record is from RNAcentral.
GACGAACGCUGGCGGCGUGCUUAACACAUGCAAGUCGAACGGAAAGGCCCUGCUUUUGUGGGGUGCUCGAGUGGCGAACGGGUGAGUAACACGUGAGUAACCUGCCCUUGACUUUGGGAUAACUUCAGGAAACUGGGGCUAAUACCGGAUAGGAGCUCCUGCUGCAUGGUGGGGGUUGGAAAGUUUCGGCGGUUGGGGAUGGACUCGCGGCUUAUCAGCUUGUUGGUGGGGUAGUGGCUUACCAAGGCUUUGACGGGUAGCCGGCCUGAGAGGGUGACCGGCCACAUUGGGACUGAGAUACGGCCCAGACUCCUACGGGAGGCAGCAGUGGGGAAUAUUGCACAAUGGGCGGAAGCCUGAUGCAGCAACGCCGCGUGCGGGAUGACGGCCUUCGGGUUGUAAACCGCUUUCGCCUGUGACGAAGCGUGAGUGACGGUAAUGGGUAAAGAAGCACCGGCUAACUACGUGCCAGCAGCCGCGGUGAUACGUAGGGUGCGAGCGUUGUCCGGAUUUAUUGGGCGUAAAGGGCUCGUAGGUGGUUGAUCGCGUCGGAAGUGUAAUCUUGGGGCUUAACCCUGAGCGUGCUUUCGAUACGGGUUGACUUGAGGAAGGUAGGGGAGAAUGGAAUUCCUGGUGGAGCGGUGGAAUGCGCAGAUAUCAGGAGGAACACCAGUGGCGAAGGCGGUUCUCUGGGCCUUUCCUGACGCUGAGGAGCGAAAGCGUGGGGAGCGAACAGGCUUAGAUACCCUGGUAGUCCACGCUGUAAACGGUGGGUACUAGGUGUGGGGUCCAUUCCACGGGUUCCGUGCCGUAGCUAACGCUUUAAGUACCCCGCCUGGGGAGUACGGCCGCAAGGCUAAAGCUCAAAGGAAUUGACGGGGCCCCGCACAAGCGGCGGAGCAUGCGGAUUAAUUCGAUGCAACGCGUAGAACCUUACCUGGGUUUGACAUGGAUCGGGAGUGCUCAGAGAUGGGUGUGCCUCUUUUGGGGUCGGUUCACAGGUGGUGCAUGCCUGUCGUCAGCUCGUGUCGUGAGAUGUUGGGUUAAGUCCCGCAACGAGCGCAACCCUUGUUCACUGUUGCCAGCACGUUAUGGUGGGGACUCAGUGGAGACCGCCGGGGUCAACUCGGAGGAAGGUGGGGAUGACGUCAAGUCAUCAUGCCCCUUAUGUCCAGGGCUUCACGCAUGCUACAAUGGCUGGUACAGAGAGUGGCGAGCCUGUGAGGGUGAGCGAAUCUCGGAAAGCCGGUCUCAGUUCGGAUUGGGGUCUGCAACUCGACCUCAUGAAGUCGGAGUCGCUAGUAAUCGCAGAUCAGCAACGCUGCGGUGAAUACGUUCCCGGG